GAGUGGAAUAUCGUAUCUACCUUGGAGCGUACGACAGCGGUGGUGUACAGUUCUGGAUUUGCGAGUCAGACAAAAAUAGAUAAAAAGUAGAAAAAGAAGAAACAGAAGAACGAUCGCAUAGCAAAAUAUUCUAACAGGUCACAGUGGAAUAUCGUAUCUACCUUGGAGCGUACGACAGCGGUCGUGUACAGUUCUGCAUUUGCGAGUCACACAAAAAUAGAUAAAAAGUA
Molecule: long non-coding RNA, 230 nt
Organism: Octopus sinensis (East Asian common octopus)
Lineage: Eukaryota; Metazoa; Mollusca; Cephalopoda; Octopoda; Octopodidae
Exons: 2
Source: RefSeq, a predicted model, not a curated record